RNAcentral lists this ribosomal RNA (100 nucleotides) under Hibiscus sabdariffa var. altissima. Its description in RNAcentral is "partial 28S ribosomal RNA". The record is from RNAcentral. Lineage: Eukaryota; Viridiplantae; Streptophyta; Magnoliopsida; Malvales; Malvaceae.
UUUCGGCACCGCAAGCACGGUGCUCGCAUCGCGACCCCAGGUCAGGCAGGGAUUACCCGCUGAGUUUAAGCAUAUCAAUAAGCGAGAAAGAACUACAGUU